GACGAACGCUGGCGGCGUGCUUAACACAUGCAAGUCGAACGGAAAGGCCCUGCUUUUGUGGGGUGCUCGAGUGGCGAACGGGUGAGUAACACGUGAGUAACCUGCCCUUGACUUUGGGAUAACUUCAGGAAACUGGGGCUAAUACCGGAUAGGAGCACCUGCUGCUUGGUGGGGGUUGGAAAGUUUCGGCGGUUGGGGAUGGACUCGCGGCUUAUCAGCUUGUUGGGGGGGUAGUGGCUUACCAAGGCUUUGACGGGUAGCCGGCCUGAGAGGGUGACCGGCCACAUUGGGACUGAGAUACGGCCCAGACUCCUACGGGAGGCAGCAGUGGGGAAUAUUGCACAAUGGGCGGAAGCCUGAUGCAGCAACGCCGCGUGCGGGAUGACGGCCUUCGGGUUGUAAACCGCUUUCGCCUGUGACGAAGCGUGAGUGACGGUAAUGGGUAAAGAAGCACCGGCUAACUACGUG
RNAcentral lists this ribosomal RNA (468 nucleotides) under uncultured bacterium. Its description in RNAcentral is "partial 16S ribosomal RNA". It matches the Rfam family "Bacterial small subunit ribosomal RNA", at positions 28 to 507 of the family's 1533-position model. The record is from RNAcentral.